Molecule: long non-coding RNA, 9146 nt
Filed under: Homo sapiens (human)
Lineage: Eukaryota; Metazoa; Chordata; Mammalia; Primates; Hominidae
Description: HSALNT0351265
Source: RNAcentral
AAGGAGUUGCCAUUAUCAUCCCCGAUAUGGAGGCGGGGAACCCAAAACACCAAGAGCAGUGGGUGCUUAGGAAGCCACAGAGCUGGGAGUAGAGCCCCAGCAGCCUGAUCCAGAGCCCCUGUUCUUCACCACCACCCUGCCCUCCUCCAGGGAGCACAAUGGGGGUCCCGGAGCCUCUUUCCAUCUGUUGGAUCUCGGUGAGAGCAUGCAGAUAUUCCCGAAAGCGGACUAAACCUGAUAUUUACAAAAACAUAGUUUUAAAUGAUCAAGACAGUACAAGUUUCAACAUCAGCUAGAGAACAUGCACAGUCAUACCGCCUAAUUUUGUACCUGUGAUAAACUCUGGCUAAAACCAAUCACAUGGGGAAAAGCUUGUCGGAUGAACAUCUACAUCACUAUUAAUUUUCAGCCAGCAUAGAAUGCAUGUGGCUUGAGAGAAACUGUUUAACAACAAAAAACUCCUAUGAAAAAGCAAAUGAGUAGGAAUGGGCAAAGAUGAGCUCCAUGACUAAAACGCUGAUCUCUUUAUCCUUCCUGUUUGCAAAUAAGCCAUGGGAUCACCAUCUUAACUAGAAUUCUAGUUAAGUCAAAACAAGACACUCAGGCACACACUCAAGAACGAGCAAUACUUUGGAAACAGAAGAAUUGUACAUUUUAUGAUUUUCCAUUGCAUGUACUACAUCCAUCCACUCCCCUGUCCCUUUUAAGCAAAUAGGCUUUAUAUUGGAAAAUGUUAUUUACUCAUUUAGAAGGCCACCGUAACGACUGGGCACUUGAGGCACAAAAGUAGUAGCAAAUAGGGGAGAUACUUAAAAAGUGUCAGCUGUCCAGGACUUAUUGCCACUUCUCUGACAAAACACAGGUGAACACAUUCAUGUUUCCAAGCAAGGGAAACUCUACUUCUAGAAUCUCAUUACUUCUGGACUUUUUCUAACUGGCUAUACACAUUAGCUUGGUUUGCAGCAAGUAACAAACAUUUGUUCUAAGCCUGGUGCAUUUGCUGAUGUGACUGCCGACAGCUAUGUAAUUCACUCACGAGGGCUAUCUGACCUUUUAUUUGACAUUAAAUUAAACAGACUAAACAUUGCUGUUGUACAAGAUGAGUUCUAGUAACUCAACUGAGUGUAACUUUUCAAAGUUGCUGAAAUAAAAAUGUGUAUUUAUUUUCAUAAAACUACAUGUAGUCUAUGCACACUGCAAAAGCCAGAGUUUCUAUAAUGUUUUGUUGGGAUAUUAAAAAUCUUUUCCCACCCUUUUUGAAUCUAACCAUUUGGUAAUGGGGCAACAGCACAACACAGAGAACGCUGAGAGGACCAAAAUGUUUGCAAACAAACUUUCAUUAUUCUAGUUCAAUCUUUCACAAACAUACUGUACAGAGUCUUAUAUGGUAUAAAACAAAGGAAAACAUCUGUCUGUUCAAUUUAACACAACACCAAAAUAAAGCAAUUAAGACUUUGGGGAAUUCAAAGUACAAGAAAACAAAAACGAUUAUUACUAAUUCCUCAGCUUUUUACCAUAAACACUUGUCAUUUAACAUAGUGUUUGAUAUAGUUUCUUUUGUACUGCAAAUACUUUUGGUCUUUCCUCCCCGUAGAACAAAUGAAGAAUUAAAAUGGACCCCAUAGCAUCCUCUGAAGGAGGUGAAAAGAUAAAGCUCCUAGACAUAGCUAGCUUAUCUUUAAGAAUCUAUUGUUUCUGAAAUUUUCACAACAAAAAUACUGAAUCCCCAACUAAUGAUGCUUAUUUUGGGAAACAAUAAAUACUGUGAGGUACAAUAAAUCCUACAGGAAUAAUAACAACAGAAACAUAUUAACAGUUUCCUUUGGCAAAUUUAACGGAAGUGAAUGCUGAUGUGAACAUAGAAAAAAUAAUUACAAAAACAUGAAAAAUGGAAACGACAUAAAAGUUAAAAUAAAGGGAUAUUUCUAACUUUUAGACUGAUGAAAGAAAUGUCUGAGGCCAUUAAAUGCAAAAAAGAAAUACAUUCUCUUUAAAUUAUUGUGUACUGUUUGACAAAAUAUUCCUUGUUUAUCUCUUCUUUUCCCCUCCACUUAAAAAAAAAGGAAAAAAGAAAAAAAAAAGACAACAAAACAGUCUGCAAUGCACACCCUAAUGGUUUUGGCUGCAGACUGAACUUGAGUAAAUAUCAUCAUUUAGUCAGUAUGUUGUGGUAGCUGAGGCUGCCGAUGUGGUUAACCAGCUCAGGCAACAUGUGUAAACAUCGGAAACAAAACAAAACAAAAAAGGUUUGGAGAAUAGUCUCUCUCCUCUUUCUCACUCUCAAUUGCUUGGUUUCAGGCUUGCUUUCAUUUCUCUCUGACAAAUCGUGUGGGGAAACACAAAACACUGAACAUUGAGAGAUCCUGCUUUAAAACCCCCUUCUUCUGGCUUUUCAGAAAGGAGUGUUGCUCCAUUCAAGUUUAGCACAUGUUUUCAAAGCUUCCAAGUACUGCUGCUGUUAAAUGCCUUUUGAUUUUGUCUACCAAACAGGCCUGAAUUAUAGUACGACUGCAGAAUUUGCAACAAAUUAGACAGCCAUACAACAGACCGACCCAGUUCAGAGGAUUUCUUUUUAAAGGAUAAGGGUUAGGGCCUUGGAAAUGAGUGUUCGACUCUUUUACUGUAUUCAUCUUUGUUCCGUAGCGGGUAAUUUGGGCUUUUGUAUCCUGAAAUAUUAUCCUGCCUCUGAAGAAUAAAUGCCUUGGCUGUUUCACACCACAUAAUUUUGUUUUCCUUUUAUGUAACUUAACGUAUAAGCAAGAAGGAUGCAAUGUUGAUUCUAAUAACAUUCGGCACUUGAAAGAAUCACCAAGUGUUUUUUUAAAAAGCGGUUUUCUGGUGGCCAACAAAUUGGCCUGUGGUUAUGUUGAGUGACUAAUUGUAUUUUCUUUUCUGGAAACUUGUGCAAAGUUGGCAGUUUUGUGUUAACACUAAUACUUUGUUUGGCAUUUGUGCCCUAUACUGACCAGACCAUUUUUAUACAAGUGAAUUUUUUUUAAAAAAGACACUUACUGAAGUAUGGCAAUAGUUUAAGGAUAAAAAAGAAGCAUGGUUAUUACACAUCCCCUUGUAGUGUAUGAAAAAAAGUGCAUGACGGGAUUUAUGUACUAGUACAGGACAUUUUAAAAAAUCAGAUCUGUGCUGUAAAGCAUGCCAGCACCUCUUUAGCACUAUAUCUAACAGGUAGUAAAAACAAGACCAUGUUUUUUUCUUUUUUUAAAAAUGUGCAUUAAUGCUAACAUAAAUGAAUAGAGCUAGCCAGCAAACUAUCUUUUCCUGCAUAUCUAACAGCUGGAUGUAACUGUAAAAAUUAAACAAAAAAGUUAAACAACCAUCAAUACAAUUGUUUUACAUCAAUGGCCCCUCAAGGCUAAAUAUUUACAGGUGAAUCUGCCAUGCUUUAAUUGAAGAUUCUUUCAAAACCUUAAAGUUCACAAAAGACAACUAUAAGAAGUUCCUUUUUGUUUCUUUUUUCUUUUUUUUCCCUUUUAUUUUUGCAGGCAACAGUCAUGGGUACAACAAAUUGUCUCUUUGGGGAAGACCAAGAAUUAUUCUGUCAAAACUGGGGCUAGUUGCACACUGUGUGUGUGUGUGUGUGUGUGUGUGUAUGUGCAUGUGUGUGUGUGUGUGUUUAAAGGGGUACUCUGUUUUCACCCUGAAAUCAAAGAUCCCACUCCUUUCCCAAAACUAUAAAGGGAAGUGAAAAAAAUUCAAAAGCACCUAGUGUUUAUCUUGUUUAUCUCAAGGAAAUACGUGUGUGUAUAUGUAGCCACAGAGCAUACAUAAAUGCACACACACACACACACACACACACACCCCAAGUACAUAAGCGCACACUGACUAUGGCAGUUCAAACACGUAGGCCAUCUGGUGAGAGCUGGCAUUUGUAGUGUCCAUUCUGAGACUAAUCUACUGAAGUGAAGGGAAUGUUUUUGUGGAGAUUAGGGUUCUGACUGUGCCGAUUUCGGCUUCGUACAGAGGAAAACAUCAUAUUGCAACCUGGGACUUUGCACUUGUGCAUUUCUCUCAAAUGCACAGUUUUGUAGUGCACUCUCAGGGUCCCCUUGUUGCUGUACAUUUUGUGGCAAAUGUUGCACAUGAUCCCACCAUUGCUCCCAGACAAGCUGCUGAACAUAAGAGAUCCUGAAACUUCAGCCCCUAGGCUGCCAGGGAGGGCAGGGGCCUCGGCCUUGUGUGCCGACUCCCCACUGUCACUCGCCCCGUCAAUGUCAUCGAGAAGAAUCCCCUCAUCGCUGCCUGCGUCGGAUUCUCUGGAGGAAUGGAUACUGCUGCUGGACUGGAGGCUGGAGGUGGUGCUCAAGUCAAGGACCAUGUAGUCCUCUGCCAUGCCUCUCCCAUACCCGUUCAGGUGGGAGUCUUCAGUCCCUGCGGGAGAGGAGGCGUCUUCCCUGACAUCGAGCCCCAUGGGGUGCUGGGCACCAUAUAUCUUCACCAAAAAUUCAUCGCGGAGGUCCUUGCUAAGGGAGGGCUGCGACGAGUCCAGGCCCAUGUCAUCGAGUUCUUUGGUCAACAGUUUACGAUGUAGGUUUAUGUUGGCACUGUGUCUAGGAAAACAAGAGGGAAGGGGGGGUACGUGGAUGGGGGGUGGGGAAAGGUGAGAAAAAGGAAAGCAUUUUAAAAUUGAUUCAGCUUUCACUAGGUAUCAAAUAAGCACAUUCACUUCUAAUUACACCAUUAUAAAAGCAAGCAUUCCCCUAUAUCCUCAGGAUCUGGGAGUUAGUGGUGGUGGUGAGAGGUGCAAUCAGGGGAACUUUCCAUUAACAUUAUUUUUAUAAGAGAGUUGACUCUGUCAAUGGUAGGAUGAAUGCAAACCCGUGCACCUUUUUCUCAAUGAUUACUCUGUUAGUUUUACUAUGUAGCAGCAUCAGCUGCAGAGAAUUUCAUGGCAGAGAUUUUAGAAUAUAUAUUAAAUAGGAUAAAAGAAUAGAAACUUUCUGCUUGUCUAAAUGGAAUAGUCUAAAUUUACCUAAAAACAAGAAAAAGUAAACAUCUUUUCUAUACAGCACACACUUUAUUUUGAGGUAUAGAAAAAAUUCAUUUUUUAAAAAAGUAGCCUAGAUAAUUUAGAUAUAACUUCAAAAAAUAAUGAAAUCUUCCGUCUCUACCCUCCACAUUUCAAGUUUUAAGGAAAAACAAUAGCUUAACAGAUUAAGCAAUUUGAAAUAGGGUUACAGACUGUCUUUUAACAACACGAAUGCCUUUUCUCAGAAUGAUUUGGGAAUCCCAGUUAAAUCUAAUAAUAAAAUACAUUUACUUUUUAGAAGUAUGUGCAUUUUAGUGUCCAAAAUAUUUUCAUCGAGUAGUUCUACUUUAAAAUUUAAUUCUUUAAGACAAAAACGGAAAAACAGAAACUUUUUAAAAAAAUAAAACCCACCCACCUUUUUAAAAAAAAUCACACUGAACAACAGAAAGAAAACUCAGAGGUACAAAAAUUAAAACACAGUAAGUACAAAAAAAUCAAGCACAACAAUAACAUAGGGUUCCUUUACUUUAACAACUGGAACCCAUACUUCUUCGACAAGCAAAACUUUUAUUCUACUCACUCAGUGCUUUGCUUGUAUGUAUGUAUGUAUAUACAUACACAUAUACAUAUUUUUUUACAUAUAUAUAUAUAAAGACAGGAUUUGUCCCAGAGAAUCCAUAGGGACAUCAUGAUUUACAAAGCCUGAUAUGUUAUCAUCUAUCUGGAAACAUUGUCUUUGUAUUUAUAUCCCCCAUUAUUUUUAAAGUGCCCUUGGGCACAUACCUCUCUCCACCUGCAAAGGCUCACAUGUUCAACAGUACCUAAAUUGAAGGUUACCCUUCCAAAAAAUAAACUGACAUAUCUACAGAUACAUAAAAGCUUCUCAAUACUGGUGGAAGCUCUACAGCUUGGAGAAGUAAUUGUGAUAAAAGAAAUGACCUAAAUGGCUGAUAUAAAGUUCAACAGACCUCCCGAUUAUACUUAAAAGUAUGGAAGACCAAAAUGUGUCAUUCCAUUUGGUGACAAACGUGGGUGAUAUUUCCUAGAGAUGGUUGAGAGGUAUGUGCCUCAGAGACAAGAAAGGUGGGGAAGACUUCUCCACCUUUCCACACAAGACAAUAUACAGCACUCUGGGUUUUAAGGGGCAGAGGGCAGCAGCCCUCUCCAACUGCACUUAGGAAGGCUGAGCUUACCUUGUGACAAUAAGAUCAGCUUUCUAAUCUUUUGCUAAAUCGAUCACAAAAGAAAGCAAGAAUAAGAGACAGAGAGAGAGAAAGAAAGAGAAAGAGAGAGAGAGAAAACAAAUUCACAUUCUAGACAUCUGGUUUUGAAAAACUUAAACAAUAAAAUAGGGAUUUAAAACGUUCUGAUCACAAAAUUAUUUUCUGUCAUAAGCGAUCAUCCCAUACGCUGUCUUGAUGAUUUUCAGAUCAGCUGUAUAAUCCAAAAAUCAUAAAUCGAAUUAACACAAACCAAAUUCACAGCAUCAUCAUCCACAAAUGAGUUCUAAACAGAUGCAUGCAGUGUGUGGGUAUGUGAAUGAUAAACAGAAGUUGUCCCCACGGUCCCUGCUCUGACACAGUAAUUCCCCGUUUCCUUGGUGUCAGAUGGCAGAUGACUCCAAGUGCAGGUUGCUAAGCAAAGUGCAGGAAAUGCCUACUGUGAGGUCUUUACUCUGACAUGUGGGUACAACACCACCAGUUAUUACAAGAAUGUGGAAGUAGAGUUACGCUAUGCGCUAUUAUUCUAUUGAUAAAACUAUCUGCCAACUAUGAGCAGCUCAUGAAAUCCUACCCGUUUAUUAUUUUUAACACCCUCCCCCUUUCUUAAUUUCACGAGCACACAUUUUGCGAUGACUGUAAUCUAGAACUCUGUUGCUUCUCACACAUCUGCAGUUACCACUUCCUAGGUUCACUGCUGAGAAAACAGCAGCCAGACACACAGCAGUUGCAUCAAGACACACUGAAUAAGGAAGAAUAAAUUAACAUUGAGAAAAGGACACACUGAUCACCCAGAUGGACACAUCUUCCCUAAGAUGACUUGUGAAAUUACACAUCUCCACCAAUAUGUUACCAGAAAGAGAUUUUCUCUUCAUUUCUCACUUACAGCAGUAGAAAUCUGUAAUCUAAUUAGACGAUGUACCAGCCCUCAAUAUCUGUCAACCAAACGAUGUGCAGAAAUGUGUAGACCAGCUCUGGCACUCUGUUCAACAGUGUCCCUUUUCCGCUGUCAGCAGUACUGUUGGCCUCUGCUAAUAUAAUUACAUUGACUUUUAUUCAAUUAAGUGCCAUCCCUCACUUUAAAAAAAACAGCUACUUUAUCAAUUGAUUCAGGUGUAAUGCAAUAAUAAAGAUGAACUCAUGGCAGUGCAUUAGCUCUGCUCUUCAUAACUUCAGUACACGGGUUCAUUCAUGGUAGUCGAUUUCCAUUAUGCAACCACAGUUCAAGAGAAUUGAUUCUUUUACGUUCAAUUCCUAAUCUAUUUCAUUUUUGUUUAAUAAUCCUCCUAAAUGCCAUAUGCAAAACACUUGAAGUGGAGAUGGGAAGGAUGGACUGAGGAAAGUCUGCUGUUCACUCUCAUGAUAGUGGGCUUGAAGAUUUUCUCACAAACUCACACAGUAUUCCUAAGGUGGAAGGAAGGAAAGCACGAGAAGGAAAGCAGACUAAAAUUCUUUAGAGGGUACCGAUCCUACCCAAGAGGUUACGGUUCAGUCUCCAAAGAAGGGACAAAAGACAGCACUUGAUUUUAACAAAGACCUAUUGUUGGACUCUUGAAUCAGUCAAUCCAGACCAUUAGCUGUCAUAAAAUACUGUCCUCAUGAGACACAAAGACCUAGGGUUAAUAGCAAUUUGAGGACUAUUACAAGUUUAUCCGGAUCAGCAAAACUGAAGAGGUGAAAAGAGAAGUUGGGAGAGACACAGAAAGAACUCUCACCUACUGAUAAUCAGAUGUCGAGAGAAGACCCUAAAAUGGCAGGAAGGCCAGAGAGUGCUGGAAACAGGAGGGGGACUCCCUGGCAGAGGAAGCCCUACUCAGUUGUAUGUAACAAUUGGAACAAAGAAUCCAACAAGGAACCAAUUUUGAGCUCUCCAGCGACAGAGAUGGUUUUUCUAGAAACAGAUUUAGUGUUCUGAAUAUUUAUCUCUAGGAAAGAGGGAAGAAUACUCAAUAACAAAUAUCUAAGACUGUAUUAGAACUUCUUACAUUCUAUAAGAACAUGAACAGUAGAAAGGUUGUUUCUACUUGCUUUGAUUUGGAAGGCAAGAAAGAUAUAUGGAAGGAAGUUCCUCUUACAGAAAAAAAGUGACUGGAAUGCAGAGAGAAAAUGAGUUCAUAGGUAUAAGGGGUAAGGACUUGGUCUUAAGAAGUGCAGUGGUAAUCAUUAAGGCAGUGGUCCAAACCUUAGCCCCAGACGUUCACUUUCAAGAACAUAACUAAAUCUUACUCAAUCUUAUGUGUCCUGCACGUAAAGUAGAAUACUUUGCACAGAGGAGGUACUUAAAAGUACAUUGGUUUCCCUUCCAUCAAUAAUAUGCAUGAGUCUUCAAAAAGUAUUUCCCAAAAUACACUGUAGAAGGGAAGAAAGCAAUGAUCCCAAGGUAGGACUCAUGUAACAGAAUAUCCAAGGAAAGGUGGUGGCGACAAAACAAACGGUGAUCCUGACGCUAUUAAUACCAUAGUAUGUUAUAAGGGAAUGCCACAAAAUUAGGGCUUGAAAAAGCCCUGUAACUUGGGCUAUGCUUGGAACUACAAAUGCUUCCUUUAAACCUCUGUACUCUUUCUAUACUGUGAAUCUACCAAAAGCUUGUUAAAGACCAAUAUCACCCUUAAAAGCAAAAAGUUACAAAACCUUGGACUGAGGGGAGGGUGCUGCAGAACCAAACUUCCUUCUUCUUUGAAAUGCUGAGUGGAAGUACUCUAACUGGACUAAAGUGGACUACCAGUCUUUUUCUGUUCCUUUGAUGAAAACUUUACCAUGCAACCACAGAAGACAUGAAAUCCAUCAAACGUAGUCAAGUAAGUGCAAAUGCCCUUUAGAGAGAAAGCAAGUCUUGCCUUGGACUUCUCUUUUCUCAUCACAUUAAGUUAGAUUUAAUGUGAUGUCUGGCCCAUAAAACUAAAAACAAAAACACUAUCUAAAGAAAGUGUUUUGAGGUUUUA